Molecule: ribosomal RNA, 468 nt
Filed under: uncultured bacterium
Lineage: Bacteria
Description: partial 16S ribosomal RNA
Rfam family: Bacterial small subunit ribosomal RNA
Source: RNAcentral
GACGAACGCUGGCGGCGUGCUUAGCACAUGCAAGUCGAACGGAAAGGCCCUGCUUUUGUGGGGUGCUCGAGUGGCGAACGGGUGAGUAACACGUGAGUAACCUGCCCUUGACUUUGGGAUAACUUCAGGAAACUGGGGCUACUACCGGAUAGGAGCUCCUGCUGCAUGGUGGGGGCUGGAAAGUUUCGGCGGUUGGGGAUGGACUCGCGGCCUGUCAGCUUGUUGGUGGGGUAGUGGCUUACCAAGGAUUUGACGGGUAGCCGGCCGGAGAGGGUGACCGGCCACAUUGGGACUGAGAUACAGCCCAGACUGCUACGGGAGGCAGCAGUGGAGAAUAUUGCACAAGGGGCGGAAGCCUGAUGCAGCAACGCCGCGUGCGGGAAGACGGCCUUCGGGGUGUAAACCGCUUGCGCCUGUGACGAAGCGUGAGUGACGGUAAUGGGUAAAGAAGCACCGGCUAACUACGUG